This 459-nucleotide ribosomal RNA is filed under the name bacterium 2311-S3-05-2.1. RNAcentral's name for it is "bacterial SSU rRNA". It matches the Rfam family "Bacterial small subunit ribosomal RNA", at positions 58 to 512 of the family's 1533-position model. RNAcentral also lists the same sequence under 1 other name. The record is from RNAcentral.
CAAGUCGAGCGGAUGACGGGAGCUUGCUCCUUGAUUCAGCGGCGGACGGGUGAGUAAUGCCUAGGAAUCUGCCUGGUAGUGGGGGACAACGUUUCGAAAGGAACGCUAAUACCGCAUACGUCCUACGGGAGAAAGCAGGGGACCUUCGGGCCUUGCGCUAUCAGAUGAGCCUAGGUCGGAUUAGCUAGUUGGUGGGGUAAUGGCUCACCAAGGCGACGAUCCGUAACUGGUCUGAGAGGAUGAUCAGUCACACUGGAACUGAGACACGGUCCAGACUCCUACGGGAGGCAGCAGUGGGGAAUAUUGGACAAUGGGCGAAAGCCUGAUCCAGCCAUGCCGCGUGUGUGAAGAAGGUCUUCGGAUUGUAAAGCACUUUAAGUUGGGAGGAAGGGCAGUAAGCUAAUACCUUGCUGUUUUGACGUUACCGACAGAAUAAGCACCGGCUAACUCUGUGCCAGC